CCUAACCCUAAUUUUAAUCCUAAUUCACUAACUCAACAACCAGUCCCCGACAUCUCUGAAGAGAUCAUUGUAAUCAACAAGGAAUCCACUUCCGAGGCAUUGAUUGCGCUCUCUGCAGGAUUUCCCGCUGAUUCCUUAACCGACGAGGAAAUUGACGCUGGUGUAGUUUCUGUUAUUGGAGGAAUUGAGCAGGUUAGGGUUUUCUACAACACGG
This 214-nucleotide unclassified non-coding RNA is filed under the name Hevea brasiliensis (rubber tree). The record is from RNAcentral. Lineage: Eukaryota; Viridiplantae; Streptophyta; Magnoliopsida; Malpighiales; Euphorbiaceae.